This 913-nucleotide ribosomal RNA is filed under the name uncultured Bacteroidota bacterium. RNAcentral describes it as "bacterial SSU rRNA". It matches the Rfam family "Bacterial small subunit ribosomal RNA", at positions 9 to 919 of the family's 1533-position model. Lineage: Bacteria; Pseudomonadati; Bacteroidota. The record is from RNAcentral.
GAGUUUGAUCAUGGCUCAGGAUGAACGCUAGCGGCAGGCCUAACACAUGCAAGUCGAACGGUAACAUGAGAGCUUGCUCUUGAUGACGAGUGGCGCACGGGUGCGUAACGCGUAUGCAACCUACCUUUAACUGGAGGAUAGCCUUUAGAAAUGAAGAAUAAUACUCCAUAAUAUUUACUUACGGCAUCGUAAGUAUCUUAAAGCUUUGGCGGUUAAAGAUGGGCAUGCGUUCUAUUAGUUAGUUGGUGAGGUAAUGGCUCACCAAGACUUCGAUAGAUAGGGGGCCUGAGAGGGUUGUCCCCCACACUGGUACUGAGACACGGACCAGACUCCUACGGGAGGCAGCAGUGAGGAAUAUUGCACAAUGGACGAAAGUCUGAUGCAGCCAUGCCGCGUGCAGGAUGAAUGCCCUAUGGGUUGUAAACUGCUUUUAUAUAGGAAGAACAUUUUCUACGUGUAGAGAACUGACGGUACUAUAAGAAUAAGGACCGGCUAACUCCGUGCCAGCAGCCGCGGUAAUACGGAGGGUCCAAGCGUUAUCCGGAUUCAUUGGGUUUAAAGGGUCCGCAGGCGGGAAAAUAAGUCAGUGGUGAAAGCCUACAGCUCAACUGUAGAACUGCCAUUGAAACUGUUUUUCUUGAGUAUAGAUGAAGUGGGCGGAAUAUAUCAUGUAGCGGUGAAAUGCAUAGAUAUGAUAUAGAACACCGAUUGCGAAGGCAGCUCACUAAACUAUUACUGACGCUCAGGGACGAAAGCGUGGGGAGCGAACAGGAUUAGAUACCCUGGUAGUCCACGCCGUAAACGAUGAUUACUCGGUGCUAGCGAUAUAACGUUAGUGCCCAAGCGAAAGUGAUAAGUAAUCCACCUGGGGGAGUACGGUCGCAAGAUUGAAACUCAAAGGAAUUGACGGGGG